UCCUUGGUGGCUCAGAGGGUAAAGCGUCUGCCUGCAAUGCAGGAAACCCGGGUUCGAUUCCUGGAUUGGGAA
RNAcentral lists this transfer RNA (72 nucleotides) under Ovis aries (sheep). It matches the Rfam family "tRNA". From Rfam's summary of the family: Transfer RNA (tRNA) molecules are approximately 80 nucleotides in length. Their secondary structure includes four short double-helical elements and three loops (D, anti-codon, and T loops). Further hydrogen bonds mediate the characteristic L-shaped molecular structure. tRNAs have two regions of fundamental functional importance: the anti-codon, which is responsible for specific mRNA codon recognition, and the 3' end, to which the tRNAs corresponding amino acid is attached (by aminoacyl-tRNA synthetases). tRNAs cope with the degeneracy of the genetic code in two manners: having more than one tRNA (with a specific anti-codon) for a particular amino acid; and 'wobble' base-pairing, i.e. permitting non-standard base-pairing at the 3rd anti-codon position. The record is from Rfam by way of RNAcentral. Lineage: Eukaryota; Metazoa; Chordata; Mammalia; Artiodactyla; Bovidae.